CGCCUGUUUAUCAAAAACAUUUCUUCAUAAUUAUGAAGUAAGACCUGCCCAGUGAUUAGUUAAACGGCUGCGGUAUGCUGACCGUGCAAAGGUAGCGUAGUAAAUUGCUUUUUGAUUGUUAGCCUGAAUGAACGGUUUAAUUUUUUCGAUGGAUCUGGUUGUCUUAAAGUAAAAAAAAGGAGGCAUAAGAAUGUGUUUAUAAAUUAAGGGACGAUAAGACCCUGAAAGCUUGAAAAAAUAGGUGAGUUGUUUAGAUACUAUGUUUAUUAGCUGGGGCAGUUAAGAAGAAUUAGUCUAAGGAGUUUAUUUAUAGGAUCCUUUAUAUUAAGAAUAGCGGUGAUAGUUACUUCAGGGGUAACAGCGUAAUUACUUAGGAGAGUUCUUAUUGAUUAAGUAGAUUGCGACCUCGAUGUUGAAUUAAGAUUAUCUCAACGAUGAAGAAGAUGUUGAAGAAAGUUUGUUCAACUUUUAAAUACUUACAUGAUCUGAGUUCAAACCGGAG
RNAcentral lists this ribosomal RNA (502 nucleotides) under Chaetogammarus stoerensis. Its description in RNAcentral is "partial 16S ribosomal RNA". It matches the Rfam family "Bacterial large subunit ribosomal RNA", at positions 1797 to 2621 of the family's 2925-position model. The record is from RNAcentral. Lineage: Eukaryota; Metazoa; Arthropoda; Malacostraca; Amphipoda; Gammaridae.